CUAAACCAGUGAAUAAAAUCAAAAGAUUAAAAUCCAAAGAAUUUGGCGGUGUUUUAUGUAAUCAGGGGAACCUGUUCCUUAAUUCGAUAAUCCACGUUAUUCAUCACCAUUAUUAGAAAAUUCAGCCUGUGUACUGCCGUCUUCAGCCCACCUUGAAGGAGUGAGCAAAAAUAUAAAUUAAAUAACUAAGUCAGGUCAAAGUACAGCCAACAUAAUGGGGGAAAAUGGGUUACAACCUAAAUCAAGAUGCCUAAAAUUUAAUCUAAUAGAAUAAAUAAAGAUGGACUUGACAGUAAUGUAAUAUAAAUAUUAAUACAUAAACAACAAUCUAAAACAUGCACAUAUCGCCCGUCACUCUCUUCUAAAGAAG
Molecule: ribosomal RNA, 370 nt
Filed under: Pristina leidyi
Lineage: Eukaryota; Metazoa; Annelida; Clitellata; Tubificida; Naididae
Description: partial 12S ribosomal RNA
Source: RNAcentral